This 508-nucleotide ribosomal RNA is filed under the name uncultured bacterium. RNAcentral's name for it is "partial 16S ribosomal RNA". It matches the Rfam family "Bacterial small subunit ribosomal RNA", at positions 28 to 523 of the family's 1533-position model. The record is from RNAcentral.
GAUGAACGCUAGCUACAGGCUUAACACAUGCAAGUCGAGGGGAAACGAUAUUGGAAGCUUGCUUCCGAUAGGCGUCGACCGGCGCACGGGUGAGUAACGCGUAUCCAACCUGCCCACCACUUGGGGAUAACCCUGCGAAAGUAAGACUAAUACCCAAUGACGUCACUAGGAGACAUCUGAAAGAGAUUAAAGAUUUAUCGGUGAUGGAUGGGGAUGCGUCUGAUUAGCUUGUUGGCGGGGUAACGGCCCACCAAGGCGACGAUCAGUAGGGGUCCUGAGAGGAAGGUCCCCCACAUUGGAACUGGGACACGGUCCAAACUCCUACGGGAGGCAGCAGUGAGGAAUAUUGGUCAAUGGGCGAGAGCUUGAACCAGCCAAGUAGCGUGCAGGAUGACGGCCCUAUGGGUUGUAAACUGCUUUUAUAAGGGAAUAAAGUGAGUCUCGUGAGACUUUUUGCAUGUACCUUAUGAAUAAGGACCGGCUAAUUCCGUGCCAGCCGCCGCGGUAA